RNAcentral lists this long non-coding RNA (1753 nucleotides) under Elaeis guineensis (African oil palm). RNAcentral's name for it is "long non-coding RNA (EGUI_LNC082837)". Lineage: Eukaryota; Viridiplantae; Streptophyta; Magnoliopsida; Arecales; Arecaceae. The record is from RNAcentral.
GUUUGGGUUAAAAUAACCAAAACAUUGAGAACAAUUCCUUUUCCAAUGAUCCAUUUUUUUCUAAAAAAGCAUUCUGUCUGGAUUGUGGUUAGUCUUAAACUUCUUGAUCAAUUAGCUCAAAAAUUAUACUCAACUUCUGAUACUAGCUAUCGAAGUUAGGUCCGAUAACAUUGUCACUGUCUAACAGUGAACAGAGCGACAAUAUUCUAAUCAUUUCUAAAAAGAGAAUAAUUAACCUAUUAGUGUAUGAACUAUUUUAAGCCUAAAAACUUGAACUUUAGUCUAAAGGUUCUCCGACUAUUUUCUACGAAUUGAUAGCCUCUACCUCCGAUUCGAAGAAUUACUUUAAUUCCUUAAUGGGUGCUAGAAUCCAUACAGACUGCAUUCGAGCCCGAGUGUGGCUCGACCAACCCUAAUGCAUCCAUGGAUAGGUUCAUAACUAAUUGUUUCUCCAAACAAUUUCUAGCAAUCAGAUUUUGCCCCAGGUAUCUCCUCAGCAGGCAUGUGGCCUCUCCACUGAAAAAUCCGAUUAGGUCUAACUAUUAACAUGACUACAUCAAAUGCAUCCAGCAAACAAAUGUUCAGACCCGAGUAUGGCUCGGCCAACCUGACCAUUGAUCUGAAAGACACAACAAGACGGUCAUAUGAUGAAUGAUAAUUCUAAUACCCAAUAGACACCAGACGUGUGGCGCCUCCAAUACCUAUUUAGAAUAUUGGAUGCAUUAUCAUAUACUUUAAUGGGAGGCUAUGAUCUAGUUAUCCCAUAACUAGCUCAUUUUAUGGACCUAAUAAUUUAGAGAAUUUGGUUAAUACAUUUUAGAAGACAUCAGUCGACCUGCAAGUCUUAAAUCCUUCUACUAACUUCACCAAGUCAUGUAAAGGACUAAAGACUAGCUAGUCCAACUAGCAAGUCAUAAAUCCUCCCACUGCCUUCAUUAAGUCAUGAGAAGGACUGAGACAAGCCGGUCCAGGGCACCUAAAUCAGUCAUACUGAUUAACCUUAACGAUAAAGGUCAACUCGAGUCACCUAACGAUCUAAUCAGUCCAAUGACUCGGGCUCAACCAUUGGCCUCGAUCAAGGUCCAUUUGAUUUAAUCAAAGAUAUGGACUUGACCAACUAUAACUAUCAUGUUUGAUCUAGAGUAUCCUUGACCUAAUCUAAAUCAACUAUUGGUUAGAUUUGAUCAACUACUCUUUUAGUCAAUUAAGUCUUUGAUUCUAACCUUAGGUCUAAUCCAAUUAAAAGAAUCUGAUUUGAGCUAACCCAUAUCCCAUAUUUUAUGCAAUGUCAUUAAAUCUUUAAUCACAAUUCUAAAUCUAAAAUACAUAUUUUAAUUCUUAAUUAAGUAUAGCAUUAACAUAGAUUAAAAUUAUUAAUUGAAACCAUUUCAACGUGUAAAACAAUUUUACAUCCUUUUUAUGCAAAAUUUUCUGUUCUGAAAACUAGGUCGACUCACCCCCGAACUGAGUCGGCUCACUUUAGUAAGUCGACUAAGUCUGAUACUUGAUCAACUAACUGAUCAUGAAUAGUAACUAUUACCGUUCGGCCUGAGACAACUUGAUCGGGUCAGUCAGCACUAAAUCGAUUAAACCAAGAGACUAAGUCGACAUGGUUCAAAACUGAGUCGGCUCAAUUGGCAUGCCAACGGAUAUCAUAUAGUUUCAGAUCUGAAAAUUCUCGCAUAAACUGAAAUAAAAUCAAUCAUAACAAAUUUUUAGAUCUUAUCUAAAUAUUUUAUGAUUCUAAAUUUUA